CCCUUAGAUGUUCUGGGCCGCACGCGUGCUACACUGAGUGGAUCAGCGGGUCAGGUUGCGCGAAAGCGUUUCCUAAUCUUUAAAUCCGCUCGUGAUGGGGAUUGACGGUUGCAAUUUUCUGUCAUGAACGAGGAAUACCUUGUAAGCGCGGGUCAUCAUCCCGCGCUGAAUACGUCCCUGCCCUUUGUACACACCGCCCGUCGCUCUUACCGAUUGGGUGUGCUGGUGAAAUGUUCGGAUCGGCCGUUUGUCGCGGUUUCCGCGUCAUGUGGCUGAGAAGUUCAUUAAACCCUCCCACCUAGAGGAAGGAGAAGUCGUAACA
RNAcentral lists this ribosomal RNA (322 nucleotides) under uncultured eukaryote. RNAcentral describes it as "partial 18S ribosomal RNA". It matches the Rfam family "Eukaryotic small subunit ribosomal RNA", at positions 1470 to 1796 of the family's 1831-position model. The record is from RNAcentral.